This 477-nucleotide ribosomal RNA is filed under the name uncultured bacterium. RNAcentral's name for it is "partial 16S ribosomal RNA". It matches the Rfam family "Bacterial small subunit ribosomal RNA", at positions 28 to 507 of the family's 1533-position model. The record is from RNAcentral.
GAUUAACGCUGGCGGCGUGCAUAACACAUGCAAGUCGAACGAUGAAACUUUAAUGAACCCUUCGGGGAGAAUUAAAGCGGAUUAGUGGCGAACGGGUGAGUAACGCGUGAGUAACCUGCCUUACACAAGGGGAUAGCCUUUGGAAACGAAGAAUAAUACCCUAUAAAACCAUAAAAGCACAUGCAAUUAUGGUCAAAGUGAUAGCGGUGUAAGAUGGACUUGCGUCUGAUUAGCUAGUUGGUGAGAUAAAAGCCCACCAAGGCAACGAUCAGUAGCCGGCUUGAGAGAGUGUACGGCCCCAUUGGGACUGAGACACGGCCCAGACUCCUACGGGAGGCAGCAGUGGGGAAUUUUGCACAAUGGGGGAAACCCUGAUGCAGCGACGCCGCGUGAUUUAGAAGGCCUUCGGGUUGUAAAAAUCUUUUGUAUAGGAAGAAAAUGACAGUACUAUACGAAUAAGGUCCGGCUAAUUACGUG